This is a long non-coding RNA of Macadamia integrifolia, 534 nucleotides long. RefSeq lists it as uncharacterized. The transcript has 3 exons. Lineage: Eukaryota; Viridiplantae; Streptophyta; Magnoliopsida; Proteales; Proteaceae. The record is from RefSeq and is a predicted model, not a curated record.
UAGUAAGAGGAAGAAAGGAGAAUGAAGAAGAAGAAGAAGAGAGGAGAAGAAGAGAAGGGAAGUGAGAGAAAUUGUGGUAGAGAUCGAUUUGCUUGGGAGAUUGCUAAAGGAUUCAGCAAAAAGGAAUCCUAGAUAGUCGUGAGAGAGAUUCCUUGGCACCAGGAGAGAUUGUGGGCCUUGAUAUUCACUAUGACGAGAGCAGUCAGCUACAAGUUGAUAAUUCAGAGCAUGAUGACAUGGUUAUAGAUCAGUUAGCUUGUAUUCCGGAUUUUGAUGACUUCAACCAUGGGCAUGAUUGUGAAUGUGAUGAUUGUGCAUACGGUGGAUAGAAAUAUUGAGGACUAAUGUAUUUGAUUAUCCUUUUGUAUAUAUAUGUGGAUGGUAGCGGAAAUCAAUUUUUGUUGAUACAAGUUAAAGGGUAAAAACAACUAUUGGAAGAGAUUUUUGUGUAAAUAUUUGUUUUAGAAUGGGAUUAAUGUACAUAUAGAUGGAUUACUGUAUAUGUUGUUAUGACUCAUUGUAUAUAUGGUAUCA